AGGAAAAUUGGUACCGUUAAUGUUAUUACUACCACUGGGUCGAUGCCUCUGCUGAUGGACUGUUAGUCCCCGAGGGUAUCACCAGCCCAGUAGCCAGUACUUCGGUACUGGCAUGAAAAUACGGAUUUUUUGUGUCAUUAAAAUUUGCUGUUACAAAAUGAUAGAAAUUAUUAUAAAUUAAGGAAUGUAUCUCCCUCAUGAAAAGCUCUGAUU
Molecule: long non-coding RNA, 213 nt
Filed under: Mytilus galloprovincialis (Mediterranean mussel)
Lineage: Eukaryota; Metazoa; Mollusca; Bivalvia; Mytilida; Mytilidae
Source: RNAcentral